CUCCUAAGGCUAAAUACUCUCUAGUGACCGAUAGUGAACCAGUACCGUGAGGGAAAGGUGAAAAGCACCCCGGAAGGGGAGUGAAAUAGAACCUGAAACCGUGUGCUUACAAGUAGUCAGAGCCCGUUAAUGGGUGAUGGCGUGCCUUUUGUAGAAUGAACCGGCGAGUUACGAUUUGAUGCAAGGUUAAGCAGUAAAUGUGGAGCCGUAGCGAAAGCGAGUCUGAAUAGGGCGUUUAGUAUUUGGUCGUAGACCCGAAACCAGGUGAUCUACCCUUGGUCAGGUUGAAGUUCAGGUAACACUGAAUGGAGGACCGAACCGACUUACGUUGAAAAGUGAGCGGAUGAACUGAGGGUAGCGGAGAAAUUCCAAUCGAACCUGGAGAUAGCUGGUUCUCUCCGAAAUAGCUUUAGGGCUAGCCUCAAGUGAUGAUUAUUGGAGGUAGAGCACUGUUUGGACGAGGGGCCCCUCUCGGGUUACCGAAUUCAGACAAACUCCGAAUGCCAAUUAAUUUAACUUGGGAGUCAGAACAUGGGUGAUAAGGUCCGUGUUCGAAAGGGAAACAGCCCAGACCACCAGCUAAGGUCCCAAAAUAUAUGUUAAGUGGAAAAGGAUGUGGCGUUGCCCAGACAACUAGGAUGUUGGCUUAGAAGCAGCCAUCAUUUAAAGAGUGCGUAAUAGCUCACUAGUCGAGUGACACUGCGCCGAAAAUGUACCGGGGCUAAACAUAUUACCGAAGCUGUGGAUUGUCCUUUGGACAAUGGUAGGAGAGCGUUCUAAGGGCGUUGAAGCAUGAUCGUAAGGACAUGUGGAGCGCUUAGAAGUGAGAAUGCCGGUGUGAGUAGCGAAA
RNAcentral lists this ribosomal RNA (850 nucleotides) under Staphylococcus aureus. Its description in RNAcentral is "partial 23S ribosomal RNA". It matches the Rfam family "Bacterial large subunit ribosomal RNA", at positions 457 to 1314 of the family's 2925-position model. Lineage: Bacteria; Bacillati; Bacillota; Bacilli; Caryophanales; Staphylococcaceae. The record is from RNAcentral.